Molecule: ribosomal RNA, 508 nt
Filed under: uncultured bacterium
Lineage: Bacteria
Description: SSU rRNA
Rfam family: Bacterial small subunit ribosomal RNA
Source: RNAcentral
AGGACGAACGCUGGCGGCGCGCUUAAUACAUGCAAGUCGAGCGAGAACCAGGGCUUCGGCCCUGGGGACAGCGGCGAACGGGUGAGUAACACGUGGGUAAUCAACCCCCGACACCGGGAUAGCCCAGGGAAACUUGGAUUAAUACCGGAUGCUCCAUCUGGCUUUCGAGCCGGCUGGAAAAGGGUAGCUUCGGCCUCCGGUCGGGGACGAGCCCGCGGCGGAUUAGCUUGUUGGUGAGGUAAAGGCUCACCAAGGCGACGAUCCGUAGCUGGUCUGAGAGGACGAUCAGCCACACUGGGACUGAGACACGGCCCAGACUCCUACGGGAGGCAGCAGUAGGGAAUCUUGCGCAAUGGGCGAAAGCCUGACGCAGCGACGCCGCGUGAGGGAAGAAGGCCUUCGGGUUGUAAACCUCUUUCAGGAGGGACGAAGCCACUCGGGUUAAUAGCCCAGAGGGUGACGGUACCUCCAGAAGAGCCCCGGCUAACUACGCGCCAGCAGCCGCGGU